This is a long non-coding RNA of Oncorhynchus mykiss (rainbow trout), 723 nucleotides long. RefSeq lists it as uncharacterized. The record is from RefSeq and is a predicted model, not a curated record. NCBI's taxonomy places the organism in Eukaryota, Metazoa, Chordata, Actinopteri, Salmoniformes, Salmonidae.
UGCAGUUGUUCAAGAGAUGUCCAGUUUGCAGCCUAACAUGCAGCACAGAGAAGACCAGCAAGGGGACGCUUAUCAGCAUUAUGCAGACAUGCCCUCGCUAUGAGCAGUCCUGUGAAUGCAACCAUCAGCCACAUUUUGGCAAGUAUCUGGCCAGCAAGCUGUCAGCGGCCACAGCUUUCACAGGCUCAUCAUUUGUACAAGUACAGAAGGAGCUGAUCUACACUGCUAUGUCCAUAAAUAGGGCUCUGGUAAAAAAAGGACUCACCACUAGCCUCACACGCCUGUUCACCAACAGUCAUCGAUGGGGAGAACAGAAUUAGGAUCUACGUGAAGGAGUGUGAGCUGGAGAGGCAGUUGUCACCUGGAUGGGUGAAAAAGAAGUGGGAGAACUAUAAGCAAAAAUACACGGAGUUGAAAGCUCCCCCACCAGAGUCAGCACAGAGGGAGGGGAGGCUACAGCCGCAUACUGGAAGUGAUAUGUGGUGAUGGAUUAGGUGCGGCAGGAGCUGCAACUCCAUCACCCCACCUGUCAUCUUCUCCUCUCCAUCCCAGAAGGGUCCAGAUGUGGAGGAGGAAGAAGUAGGUGACUGCCAGAGAGGCACGCUUUAUUGCCAUUUUAGAGGCCAUGAUUAAGAAGUAGUUUUAUGUAUUUUGUAUGUAUUUUAUUUAUAGCUAUUAAUUUUCUACUGUUUUUGGUGAAGUAAUUAAAAAAAAAUCCAAAGU